UACUCCUACGGGAGGCAGCAGUGAGGAAUAUUGGUCAAUGGACGGAAGUCUGAACCAGCCAAGUAGCGUGCAGGAUGACGGCCCUAUGGGUUGUAAACUGCUUUUGUAUGGGGAUAAAGUCAAUCACGUGUGAUUGUUUGCAGGUACCAUACGAAUAAGGACCGGCUAAUUCCGUGCCAGCAGCCGCGGUAAUACGGAAGGUCCAGGCGUUAUCCGGAUUUAUUGGGUUUAAAGGGAGCGUAGGCUGGAGAUUAAGUGUGUUGUGAAAUGUAGACGCUCAACAUCUGACUUGCAGCGCAUACUGGUUUCCUUGAGUACGCACAACGUUGGCGGAAUUCGUCGUGUAGCGGUGAAAUGCUUAGAUAUGACGAAGAACUCCGAUUGCGAAGGCAGCUGACGGGAGCGCAACUGACGCUUAAGCUCGAAGGUGCGGGUAUCAAACAGGAUUAGAUACCCUGGUAGUCCGCACAGUAAACGAUGGAUGCCCGCUGUUGGUACCUGGUAUCAGCGGCUAAGCGAAAGCAUUAAGCAUCCCACCUGGGGAGUACGCCGGCAACGGUGAAACUCAAAGGAAUUGACGGA
Molecule: ribosomal RNA, 582 nt
Filed under: uncultured bacterium
Lineage: Bacteria
Description: bacterial SSU rRNA
Rfam family: Bacterial small subunit ribosomal RNA
Source: RNAcentral